This 390-nucleotide ribosomal RNA is filed under the name uncultured bacterium. Its description in RNAcentral is "bacterial SSU rRNA". It matches the Rfam family "Bacterial small subunit ribosomal RNA", at positions 29 to 408 of the family's 1533-position model. The record is from RNAcentral.
AACGAACGCUGGCGGCGCGCCUAACACAUGCAAGUCGAACGAGAAGGCGUAGCAAUACGCUUGUAGAGUGGCGAACGGGUGAGUAAUACGUGGGUGACCUACCCUCGAGUGGGGAAUAACCCGCCGAAAGGCGGGCUAAUGCCGCGUACGCUUCCGUCCUCACGGGGACGGAAGGAAAGCUGUACCGUGGGUACGGCGCUCAAGGAUGGGCUCACGUCCUAUCAGCUUGUUGGUAGGGUAACGGCCUACCAAGGCUACGACGGGUAGCUGGUCUGAGAGGACGAUCAGCCACACUGGCACUGCGACACGGGGCCAGACUCCUACGGGAGGCAGCAGUAAGGAAUAUUGCGCAAUGGGCGAAAGCCUGACGCAGCGACGCCGCGUGGGGGA